AAUAGAUACCCCGGUAGUCCACGCCGUAAACGUUGGGCACUAGGUGUGGGACCUUAUCAACGGGUUCCGUGCCGUAGCUAACGCAUUAAGUGCCCCGCCUGGGGAGUACGGCCGCAAGGCUAAAACUCAAAGGAAUUGACGGGGGCCCGCACAAGCGGCGGAGCAUGUUGCUUAAUUCGAGGCAACGCGAAGAACCUUACCUAGGUUUGACAUGUAGGGAAAAGCCGUAGAGAUACGGUGUCCUUUUGGGCCCUACACAGGUGGUGCAUGGCUGUCGUCAGCCCGUGCCGUGAGAUGUUGGGUUAAGUCCCGCAACGAGCGCAACCCUUGUCCUAUGUUGCCAGCGGGUAAUGCCGGGGACUCGUAGGAGACUGCCGGGGUCAGCUCGGAGGAAGGUGGGACGACGUCAAGUCAGUCAUGGCCCCUUAUAUCUAGGGCUGCAAACAUGCUACAAUGGCCGAUACAAAGGGCUGCUAUACCGCGAGGUGGAGCGAAUCCCAUAAAGUCGGUCUCAGUUCGGAUUGGAGUCUGCAACUCGACUCCA
RNAcentral lists this ribosomal RNA (544 nucleotides) under uncultured bacterium. Its description in RNAcentral is "bacterial SSU rRNA". It matches the Rfam family "Bacterial small subunit ribosomal RNA", at positions 777 to 1320 of the family's 1533-position model. The record is from RNAcentral.